CGGACGGGUGAGGAAUACAUCGGAAUCUACUCUGUCGUGGGGAGUAACGUAGGGAAACUUACGCUAAUACCGCAUACGACCUACGGGUGAAAGGCAGGGGAGUCUUCGGACCUUGCGCGAUUGAAUGAGCCGAUGUCGGAUUAGCUAGUUGGCGGGGUAAAGGCCCACCAAGGCGACGAUCCGUAGCUGGUCUGAGAGGAUGAUCAGCCACACUGGAACUGAGACACGGUCCAGACUCCUACGGGAGGCAGCAGGC
RNAcentral lists this ribosomal RNA (256 nucleotides) under uncultured Stenotrophomonas sp. RNAcentral's name for it is "partial 16S ribosomal RNA". It matches the Rfam family "Bacterial small subunit ribosomal RNA", at positions 99 to 354 of the family's 1533-position model. Lineage: Bacteria; Pseudomonadati; Pseudomonadota; Gammaproteobacteria; Lysobacterales; Lysobacteraceae. The record is from RNAcentral.